Molecule: ribosomal RNA, 253 nt
Filed under: uncultured bacterium
Lineage: Bacteria
Description: partial 16S ribosomal RNA
Rfam family: Bacterial small subunit ribosomal RNA
Source: RNAcentral
UACGUAGGGUGCGAGCGUUGCCCGGAUUUAUUGGGCGUAAAGGGCGCGUAGGCGGCUCGGCACGUCCGUUGUGAAAUCGCCCGGCUCAACUGGGCGGGGUCGGCGGAUACGGCCGAGCUAGAGCAAGCUAGGGGGCAAUGGAAUUCCCGGUGUAGUGGUGGAAUGCGUAGAUAUCGGGAGGAACACCAGUGGCGAAGGCGGUUGCCUGGAGCUUUGCUGACGCUGAGGCGCGAAAGCGUGGGGAGCAAACAGG